GGCUGCGAUCGCGGGUGGGAAGGCGGAGGUAGGGCGCACGCAGCGCCCGUUCAGGGGAUCGGGACAACUCCUUUUUCAUUUUAACUGGGCGCAUCCCCCAAAGCGAAUUUGUAGACUGCUGUCGCCACCAGUGUCCACGGACCCUGUCGCGUCCCUGCCUAGAAUGGGUGUCGCGCUCACUUUGCUCGAACCAUUCAUAACUUUCGGGAAGGGAGCCUGCUCUCCUGCAGCUCGCGCGGGGAGAGAAAACUUCUGGGGGAGGACGUGCCGGGCCUGCCCCCGCGCGGUCGCCCUGUGAGGGUGUAGGGGUUGUGUACAAACAAGUGGCUGCUCCGGGGGAGGAAGUAGGAAGAGAGGUCCCCGGCGCCCACGUGCCACGGCGCUUUCAUGGCUGCUCCAAGUGGAAACCGGGCACUGCGAGCCUGCUGGAGCUGGACAGACCUCACACGAUUCGCUUCCUCCCAUCCGCUUUUCCUCCCCUCCCCCUGCGGUCUCUGGGACACAGUUUAUGUUUCCUGGGGCGGCUGCAACUUCGCCUGGAUACACUGUCUAUAAUGAGUCUCGGUCCUGUCGGAGGCUGGCCCGGAGUCUGGCUUGAAGCGCAGGCUGCGCCCUGGGUCUGAGCGGGGUAAAGGAUCCGGUCGCUCGCUCGACCAGGAAGCCAGCCGCUGGGAUGACGGGAUUGAACCCUACUACUGCCAAAACAAUCACUUUCAAAUCCUUCCUCCACUUGAACCCUGAGGACCUGGACCACACAAACACGUCCAAAAACCUUCCUGUUAUUGCUGACAGGCAGCUCAGAGCCAGACACACACUGUGGAGUGAACUGUGUGGCUUCACCCUGCAGGCCCUGCCCUGGGUGCUGAGUGCCAGGAGCAUAGGAAAGACCUCCCCACAGCGCCUCUGCGCCCAGCCCUGCCAGGCCGGAUCCAGGAGCUGCAGAAGCAGCCGUGCUCGCAGGGCCUCACGCCACAUCCUGCUGUCCCCACCAGCCCGGGAGGCCGCCAUCCUGUCCCCAGGUCCAGAACAGGCACGGAGCUGAGUCAGAGCCUGGAGUCCAAAAAGGAAAUUUUAGGGAAGAGGCCUUCUUAAAGAUGUCCAGCAAGACCGCCAGCACCAACAACAUAGCCCAGGCCCGUAGGACCGUGCAGCAGCUGCGGCUGGAGGCCUCCAUUGAGAGAAUAAAGGUGAGACCGGCGGGCUGGGGUUGCUGGCUUGCUGGUCAGUGCCCCCGCUCUGGUGGGGCUGGGACAUCUGUCAGAGGCGAAAGGUUGCUGAAUUCCCCUUGCUCCAGGAUUUCCCUGAAGCAGAUGAUAGCCUCAGGAUCUUAAUUUUCAUUUCCUGCCUAUUUCAAAAGAGCCAAGGUGCUGGGCAUGGUGGCGCAUGCCUGUCAUCCCAGAACUUGAAAGGCUGAGGCAGGAGGAUCCCAGGAGUUCAAGGCCAGCCUGAAAUACAUAACAGGAUGAGCACCUGCAGCUUUAGGACCCUGGUGAAUGAAGCCAGGCACGUUUCUGAAGUCACCUGAUUCUCCCCCACCCCCACCCCGAGGGCCAGGCGGCCAGAGUGCUGGGCUGCCAACUCCCAGGGUUCCCUGGGCACAGAAGCUGUCCCCUGAUAAAUUCCUGGGGCCUGGAGCCCCGGGCCGAUCGGUCACUGCCCAGCCUGCAUUCCUCACCCAGACCCUGGAGACGUGCAUGGCGCCUUCUGUGUCCCCACGCAUGUGCCCAGCGCAGCCCAGCCUCCAGCCCGCAGUGUCCUGCUCCGGCCUGGCCCACUUCUGGUCUGUCUUUCUUGGGUAGAGAGGAAGACGCCACAGCCUCCUGUGGCCCGCACACGCGCUGCCUGCCUUCCUGUUCUCACCACGCUGCCCUGUGGGGCUGUCCAGCCCCGAGCCCGAGUGACCAGGCUGCAGCAGUCGUUCGCAUCGGGGCCUGCAGCGCCCUUGCACAGGCA
RNAcentral lists this long non-coding RNA (1953 nucleotides) under Fukomys damarensis (Damara mole-rat). RNAcentral describes it as "lncRNA (ENSFDAG00000029615.1)". Lineage: Eukaryota; Metazoa; Chordata; Mammalia; Rodentia; Bathyergidae. The record is from RNAcentral.